RNAcentral lists this ribosomal RNA (827 nucleotides) under uncultured bacterium. RNAcentral's name for it is "bacterial SSU rRNA". It matches the Rfam family "Bacterial small subunit ribosomal RNA", at positions 62 to 900 of the family's 1533-position model. The record is from RNAcentral.
UCGAACGGACUCAUAUUGAAACCUAGUGAUUUAUGAGUUAGUGGCGGCCGUGUGAGUAACGCGUGGAUAACCUGCCGUAUACCGGGGAUAACACUUAGAAAUAGGUGCUAAUACCGCAUAAGCGCACGGCUCCGCAUGGGGCAGUGUGAAAAACUCCGGUGGUAUACGAUGGAUCCGCGUCUGAUUGGCUAGUUGGCGGGGUAACGGCCCACCAAGGCAGCGAUCAGUAGCCGGCCUGAGAGGGUGGACGGCCACAUUGGGACUGAGACACGGCCCAAACUCCUACGGGAGGCAGCAGUGGGGAAUAUUGCACAAUGGGGGAAACCCUGAUGCAGCGGCGCCGCGUGAGUGAAGAAGUAUCUCGGUACGUAAAGCUCUAUCAGCAGGGAAGAAAAUGACGGUACCUGACUAAGAAGCCCCGGCUAACUACGUGCCAGCAGCCGCGGUAAUACGUAGGGGGCAAGCGUUAUCCGGAUUUACUGGGUGUAAAGGGAGCGUAGACGGCAGCACAAGUCUGGAGUGAAAUCCCGGGGCUUAACCCCGGAACUGCUUUGGAAACUGUGCGGCUGGAGUGCAGGAGGGGUAAGCGGAAUUCCUAGUGUAGCGGUGAAAUGCGUAGAUAUUAGGAGGAACACCGGUGGCGAAGGCGGCUUACUGGACUGUAACUGACGUUGAGGCUCGAAAGCGUGGGGAGCAAACAGGAUUAGAUACCCUGGUAGUCCACGCCGUAAACGAUGAUUACUAGGUGUCGGGGGAUCAAGGUCCUCCGGUGCCGGCGCAAACGCAUUAAGUAAUCCACCUGGGGAGUACGUUCGCAAGAAUGAAAC